This 447-nucleotide ribosomal RNA is filed under the name uncultured bacterium. Its description in RNAcentral is "bacterial SSU rRNA". It matches the Rfam family "Bacterial small subunit ribosomal RNA", at positions 330 to 794 of the family's 1533-position model. The record is from RNAcentral.
GCCAGACUCCUACGGGAGGCAGCAGUGGGGAAUAUUGCACAAUGGGGGGAACCCUGAUGCAGCGACGCCGCGUGAGCGAAGAAGUAUUUCGGUAUGUAAAGCUCUAUCAGCAGGGAAGAAAAUGACGGUACCUGACUAAGAAGCCCCGGCUAACUACGUGCCAGCAGCCGCGGUAAUACGUAGGGGGCAAGCGUUAUCCGGAUUUACUGGGUGUAAAGGGAGCGCAGGCGGCGCGGUAAGUCUGAUGUGAAAGCCCGGGGCUCAACCCCGGGACUGCAUUGGAAACUGUCGUGCUGGAGUGUCGGAGGGGCAAGUGGAAUUCCUAGUGUAGCGGUGAAAUGCGUAGAUAUUAGGAGGAACACCAGUGGCGAAGGCGGCUUGCUGGACGACAACUGACGCUGAGGCUCGAAAGCGUGGGGAGCAAACAGGAUUAGAUACCCGUGUAGG